Long non-coding RNA from Herpailurus yagouaroundi (jaguarundi), 784 nucleotides. RefSeq lists it as uncharacterized. The transcript is spliced from 3 exons. The record is from RefSeq and is a predicted model, not a curated record. Lineage: Eukaryota; Metazoa; Chordata; Mammalia; Carnivora; Felidae.
CUCACAAAUGGUGAGACCAUGACCAGAGCUGUAAUCAAGAGCCAGACCCUCAACCUACUGAGCCACCCAGGCACAUCUCCAAUAAAACAUGAUGUACAAAACUGAUGAUUUGAAACAGCAAUCUUGAGACUUGAGAGGAAGACAGAGUAAAUACUCUUCAUCUCAUUUUAAAGAUAGAAUAUGAAGUGUUUUGUUUAUGUACAAGUUUAUGUCUCAGCUUUGCUCUCUGAUCCUCGUUUGGACCCAGCCAUUGACACAGCUAUACAGAUGCUCUUGGGCAGACUAAAGGAAGGAGGCAGCAUACCGAACACAGUACCUGCAAGGAGUACAGAGCCUGGAUGUGAACAAUCCAUUUCUGUCUCUCAAAGACUGAAACACUGGUAUAAUUGCUCCUGCACUCUUCUGCAUCACUCAUUCCAUAAGCUUAAGAAGCUUUAAGAGAAACAUAUACAAGAUAAUGCUUUUGGUACGAAGUAAAAGGAAAUCUUUAUUUUCCCUGGUUUAAUUUUCUAGAUUUACUACCUUUCUAUUUUUUAUAAAUAUCUUUCAGUUUUUACUGUUCAAGGCCAGUCACAUUUACUUCAUGUUUCAUUUUCUGAUAUCCAAAUUCUCUCUGGUGCUUCCUCUAAUGACAAGCACAGUCUUCUACUGGGAUACAAUUUUGUUUGUGUGGCUAAUUUCUUAAUCCUCCUGUCCAUACCCUCUUUCUUUAUUGCAAAGUAUCACUUGAGUCCAAGUGAGUUUUAUUUAUUUAUUUUUUUAAGCCUUCACCUUUCCUGCUGCU